This 213-nucleotide unclassified non-coding RNA is filed under the name uncultured Chrysozymaceae. Its description in RNAcentral is "sequence contains ITS2". The record is from RNAcentral. Lineage: Eukaryota; Fungi; Basidiomycota; Microbotryomycetes.
ACUCUUCAACCCACCGGUUUCUAGUAAAUUGGAUGGUGUUUGGAUUUUGAGUGUUGCUGGUCCUUUCGGACGUAGCUCAUUCGUAAUAUAUUAGCAUCUCAAUUUCGAACUUCGGAUUGACUCAGCGUAAUAGACUAUUCGCUGAGGACACCUCACGGUGGCCGAAUAAAAAGACAGUUAGAAGCUUCUAAUCAGAUCUUAGUCAACUUUUAG